UGUUUGGUUCGGGUUAUUCUAGCAGAAUUAUAGGAGGCAAUUUUGUUAGAAUUACUAUGUUUGGUAGCAUUACAAAUGGUGUCGGAUUAUACAAAAAAUAUUACUGAGAAGGAACGUGUACCUUGGAUUAGUGAAUGCCGGUUAACCUUAUUUGUUAUAUAAAAUUACAAGUUUAUCCCUCAAACUCUCAAAACCCUUUCAAUACGUCAUUUUAAAAUUUUUAAUUUAAAAUUUUAAAUUGUUAACUUUUAAAUUUUAAAUUUUAUUUUCAAUU
RNAcentral lists this long non-coding RNA (274 nucleotides) under Ananas comosus (pineapple). RNAcentral's name for it is "long non-coding RNA (ACOM_LNC013095)". Lineage: Eukaryota; Viridiplantae; Streptophyta; Magnoliopsida; Poales; Bromeliaceae. The record is from RNAcentral.